GAGGAGGAGGAAGUGGAUACGGCGGUUCCUCUGGAGGUGGAGGAGGAGGAAGUGGAUACGGCGGUUCCUCUGGAGGUGGAGGAGGAGGAAGUGGAUACGGCGGUUCCUCUGGAGGUGGAGGAGGAGGAGGAAGUGGAUA
This is a non-coding RNA of Penaeus vannamei (Pacific white shrimp), 139 nucleotides long. The record is from RefSeq and is a predicted model, not a curated record. NCBI's taxonomy places the organism in Eukaryota, Metazoa, Arthropoda, Malacostraca, Decapoda, Penaeidae.